Molecule: ribosomal RNA, 387 nt
Filed under: uncultured bacterium
Lineage: Bacteria
Description: partial 16S ribosomal RNA
Rfam family: Bacterial small subunit ribosomal RNA
Source: RNAcentral
CCUACGGGAGGCAGCAGUGAGGAAUAUUGGUCAAUGGCCGUAAGGCUGAACCAGCCAAGUAGCGUGAGGGAAGACUGCCCUAUGGGUUGUAAACCUCUUUUAUGCGGGGAUAAAGGUGUCCACGUGCGGAUGUUUGCAGGUACCGCAUGAAUCAGGACCGGCUAAUUCCGUGCCAGCAGCCGCGGUAAUACGGAAGGUCCGGGCGUUAUCCGGUUUUAUGGGGAUUAAAGGGAGCGUAGGCCGGUCUUUAAGCGUGCCGUGAAAUUUUGUGGCUCAACCAGGAGAGUGCGGUGCGAACUGGAGACCUUGAAUGCGCGGAAGGCAGGGGGAAUUCGUGGUGUAGCGGUGAAAUGCUUAGAUAUCACGAAGAACCCCGAUUGCGAAGGC